This is a long non-coding RNA of Papaver somniferum (opium poppy), 1325 nucleotides long. RefSeq lists it as uncharacterized. The transcript has 4 exons. The record is from RefSeq and is a predicted model, not a curated record. Lineage: Eukaryota; Viridiplantae; Streptophyta; Magnoliopsida; Ranunculales; Papaveraceae.
AGCGGAAAAACCUAAGUCCAAUACAUCCCUGAUUCUCGACAACGAAAACCCCCGUUACCUCCACUCUUUUUCUUUUUCUGGAUCUGCAACUUAACCAGAACUUAGUUUUUUUCAUUCAUAACCAGCAACCAAUCAAUUCUCAGACCUGUUUUGCGUAAACCAAUUUGUUUUUUUCUCCAUCGAUCGAAGCCUGCAAUUCCAUCUUUAUCGAAACCCUAAGAAACAAAUUUCGUAAUCAAGGCAAUUUGAACACAAAUGUAGAGAUGGUAAUUUUUGCAGACGGUUUUUCCUUUUGUUUAUGCUUCUUCUUACUUGGAUCUGUGUCAAAGCUUUAUUUGCAAGACCACAUUGUAUUUGGAGGAAAUGUUGUGUACUGCUAUUAGAUAUAACUGAUUAACUAUAUCAGUAAAUUUGACAUGGAUUGAACCAAACUUAUCUUGCUGUUACAUCUUGUCAAAUGUCAUUCAGCAUCACUACUUCGUCACUAUUCUCUCAAAAGUGGUAUGAAAAUUUUAUUCUCUAAGGCUUUGAUAAUGCUACACCAUAAGGUUUUGUCAGAAUUUUUUUAUGUAGUUUUUCAUAUAGAGUUUGCUUUAAAUUACCAUAUAUCAUAGUAUGUGAUAAAAUUUGUACAGGCUCAAGAGAAUGGACGGAACCCACCAACCGAUGGUGAAUAAAGCCAGCAGAAAAUCUUCAUGCCCAAUUUCACAAGGCUACAUAGUUCAAAUGAGGGAACAAUCUGGGCUGGCAAAUGAGAGAAGAAAAUGCAGAAUGGGCGAGACGAACGAAAGCACGUGAUAAGGAGGCUAAGAUAUGUUGAAAACCAAAUGUUGGUGUUUGUCAGAUUGUGCUCCAGGCCAGAGAAAUUUUUAACACCGAGGCAACUCUCAUGACCUUCAGAUUAGUACUUCAUACCUUGGAAGAAACUAUUUUCACCUUGGUAUCAGCCUUACAGACCUUUGGAGCAGCUCAAUUGAUCCAGGCAACAUCCUUACUGAUCCAAGAAGCAACUCUGUAGACCUGGGGAGCGGCCGUAUAGAUCUCAAACUAUAUCAGCAAUGCAGGGCCUAAGAAUGGAAGGCUGGAGGAAUUUAUCAUGGAAUUGAUCUAGGCUGAAGUAUAAAGGUUAUUUACUUUCAAAUGAAGCUAAUAUUGAAGUCUAUUCCUCUUCACGUUUGGGUCAUGCAUUGGAUGAUACAGAGUUACCUAUUUUGCACCACCUCUCGUGGCAGGUUUUUUCUUCUACAUUUUGUUAAAAUUGGAAUUCAUUAUACCCUAUAACAGACUUGGAGUUUUUGGUUUUGAAUCAAAUUCUGUGUUUUGGU